RNAcentral lists this ribosomal RNA (228 nucleotides) under uncultured beta proteobacterium. RNAcentral describes it as "partial 16S ribosomal RNA". It matches the Rfam family "Bacterial small subunit ribosomal RNA", at positions 980 to 1211 of the family's 1533-position model. The record is from RNAcentral. Lineage: Bacteria; Pseudomonadati; Pseudomonadota; Betaproteobacteria.
CUUGACAUGCCACUAACGAAGCAGAGAUGCAUUAGGUGCCCGAAAGGGAAAGUGGACACAGGUGCUGCAUGGCUGUCGUCAGCUCGUGUCGUGAGAUGUUGGGUUAAGUCCCGCAACGGGCGCAACCCUUGUCUUUAGUUGCUACGCAAGAGCACUCUAGAGAGACUGCCGGUGACAAACCGGAGGAAGGUGGGGAUGACGUCAAGUCCUCAUGGCCCUUAUGGGUAG